RNAcentral lists this unclassified non-coding RNA (261 nucleotides) under plant metagenome. Its description in RNAcentral is "partial contains small subunit ribosomal RNA, internal transcribed spacer 1, and 5.8S ribosomal RNA". The record is from RNAcentral.
UUUCCGUAGGUGAACCUGCGGAAGGAUCAUUAUUGUAUAACCGAGGUGCGAGGGCUGUCGCUGACCCGAAAGGACGUGCACGCCCGAGUGCCCUCACACAGCCACCUCACCCCUAUGUGCACCACCGCGUGGGUCCCCCUUUGGCUUGUUCGGAGGGGGGCUUACGUUUUCACACAAACUUUGUAUGCAGUGUAGAAUGUAUUUUUUGUUUUUGCGAUCACGCAAUCAAUACAACUUUCAACAACGGAUCUCUUGGCUCUC